AUUGAACGCUGGCGGCAUGCCUUACACAUGCAAGUCGAACGGCAGCACGGAGCUUGCUCUGGUGGCGAGUGGCGAACGGGUGAGUAAUAUAUCGGAACGUACCCUAGAGUGGGGGAUAACGUAGCGAAAGUUACGCUAAUACCGCAUACGAUCUAAGGAUGAAAGUGGGGGAUCGCAAGACCUCAUGCUCGUGGAGCGGCCGAUAUCUGAUUAGCUAGUUGGUAGGGUAAAAGCCUACCAAGGCAUCGAUCAGUAGCUGGUCUGAGAGGACGACCAGCCACACUGGAACUGAGACACGGUCCAGACUCCUACGGGAGGCAGCAGUGGGGAAUUUUGGACAAUGGGCGAAAGCCUGAUCCAGCAAUGCCGCGUGAGUGAAGAAGGCCUUCGGGUUGUAAAGCUCUUUUGUCAGGGAAGAAACGGUGAGAGCUAAUAUCUCUUGCUAAUGACGGUACCUGAAGAAUAAGCACCGGCUAACUACGUGCCAGCAGCCGCGGUAAUACGUAGGGUGCAAGCGUUAAUCGGAAUUACUGGGCGUAAAGCGUGCGCAGGCGGUUUUGUAAGUCUGAUGUGAAAUCCCCGGGCUCAACCUGGGAAUUGCAUUGGAGACUGCAAGGCUAGAAUCUGGCAGAGGGGGGUAGAAUUCCACGUGUAGCAGUGAAAUGCGUAGAUAUGUGGAGGAACACCGAUGGCGAAGGCAGCCCCCUGGGUCAAGAUUGACGCUCAUGCACAAAAGCGUGGGGAGCAAACAGGAUUAGAUACCCUGGUAGUCCACGCCCUAAACGAUGUCUACUAGUUGUCGGGUCUUAAUUGACUUGGUAACGCAGCUAACGCGUGAAGUAGACCGCCUGGGGAGUACGGUCGCAAGAUUAAAACUCAAAGGAAUUGACGGGGACCCGCACAAGCGGUGGAUGAUGUGGAUUAAUUCGAUGCAACGCGAAAAACCUUACCUACCCUUGACAUGGCUGGAAUCCCCGAGAGAUUGGGGAGUGCUCGAAAGAGAACCAGUACACAGGUGCUGCAUGGCUGUCGUCAGCUCGUGUCGUGAGAUGUUGGGUUAAGUCCCGCAACGAGCGCAACCCUUGUCAUUAGUUGCUACGAAAGGGCACUCUAAUGAGACUGCCGGUGACAAACCGGAGGAAGGUGGGGAUGACGUCAAGUCCUCAUGGCCCUUAUGGGUAGGGCUUCACACGUCAUACAAUGGUACAUACAGAGCGCCGCCAACCCGCGAGGGGGAGCUAAUCGCAGAAAGUGUAUCGUAGUCCGGAUUGUAGUCUGCAACUCGACUGCAUGAAGUUGGAAUCGCUAGUAAUCGCGGAUCAGCAUGUCGCGGUGAAUACGUUCCCGGGUCU
This 1352-nucleotide ribosomal RNA is filed under the name uncultured bacterium. RNAcentral's name for it is "bacterial SSU rRNA". It matches the Rfam family "Bacterial small subunit ribosomal RNA", at positions 28 to 1381 of the family's 1533-position model. The record is from RNAcentral.